Molecule: ribosomal RNA, 253 nt
Filed under: uncultured bacterium
Lineage: Bacteria
Description: partial 16S ribosomal RNA
Rfam family: Bacterial small subunit ribosomal RNA
Source: RNAcentral
UACGAAGGGGGCUAGCGUUGCUCGGAAUCACUGGGCGUAAAGCGCACGUAGGCGGAUUGCUAAGUCAGGGGUGAAAUCCUGGAGCUCAACUCCAGAACUGCCCUUGAUACUGGCGGUCUCGAGUCCGGGAGAGGUGAGUGGAACUGUGAGUGUAGAGGUGAAAUUCGUAGAUAUUCGCAAGAACACCAGUGGCGAAGGCGGCUCACUGGCCCGGUACUGACGCUGAGGUGCGAAAGCGUGGGGAGCAAACAGG